Molecule: ribosomal RNA, 253 nt
Filed under: uncultured bacterium
Lineage: Bacteria
Description: partial 16S ribosomal RNA
Rfam family: Bacterial small subunit ribosomal RNA
Source: RNAcentral
UACGUAGGGUGCAAGCGUUGUCCGGAAUUAUUGGGCGUAAAGAGCUCGUAGGCGGUCUGUCGCGUCGGCUGUGAAAUCCCGGAGCUCAACUCCGGGCCUGCAGUCGAUACGGGCAGACUGGAGUUCGGCAGGGGAGACUGGAAUUCCUGGUGUAGCGGUGAAAUGCGCAGAUAUCAGGAGGAACACCGGUGGCGAAGGCGGGUCUCUGGGCCGAUACUGACGCUGAGGAGCGAAAGCAUGGGGAGCGAACAGG